UACGUAGGGUGCGAGCGUUAAUCGGAAUUACUGGGCGUAAAGUGUGCGCAGGCGGCGCCGCAAGUCGAGUGUGAAAGCCCCGGGCUUAACUUGGGAAUUGCGCUCGAAACUAUGGUGCUGGAAUCUGGCAGAGGGGGGUGGAAUGCCGCGUGUAGCAGUGAAAUGCGUAGAGAUGCGGCGGAACACCGAUGGCGAAGGCAGCCCCCUGGGCUGAGAUUGACGCUCAGGCACGAAAGCGUGGGGAGCAAACAGG
RNAcentral lists this ribosomal RNA (253 nucleotides) under uncultured bacterium. RNAcentral's name for it is "partial 16S ribosomal RNA". It matches the Rfam family "Bacterial small subunit ribosomal RNA", at positions 524 to 776 of the family's 1533-position model. The record is from RNAcentral.